This 389-nucleotide ribosomal RNA is filed under the name uncultured soil bacterium. RNAcentral describes it as "bacterial SSU rRNA". It matches the Rfam family "Bacterial small subunit ribosomal RNA", at positions 26 to 406 of the family's 1533-position model. The record is from RNAcentral.
AGGACGAACGCUGGCGGCGUGCUUAACACAUGCAAGUCGAGCGGUAAGGCCCUUUCGGGGGUACACGAGCGGCGAACGGGUGAGUAACACGUGAGCAAUCUGCCCUUCACUUCGGGAUAAGCCUCGGAAACGGGGUCUAAUACCGGAUAUGACUGCGCCAUGCAUGUGGUGUGGUGGAAAGUUCUGGCGGUGAGGGAUGAGCUCGCGGCCUAUCAGCUUGUUGGUGGGUAAUGGCCUACCAAGGCUUCGACGGGUAGCCGGCCUGAGAGGGUGACCGGCCACACUGGGACUGAGACACGGCCCAGACUCCGUACGGGAGGCAGCGAGUGGGGAAUAGUUGGACAAGUGGGACGAAAGCCGUAGACUCCGAGCCAACCGGCCGUCGGUGA